AUCAGCUAGUUGGUGAGGUAACGGCUCACCAAGGCUAUGACGGGUAGCUGGUCUGAGAGGACGACCAGUCACACUGGAACUGAGACACGGUCCAGACACCUACGGGUGGCAGCAGUCGAGAAUUUUUCACAAUGGGGGCAACCCUGAUGGAGCGACGCCGCGUGGAGGAUGAAGGCUUUCGGGUUGUAAACUCCUGUCAUUUGAGAACAAGGUGCAGCGAUUAACUGUCGCUGCAUUGAUAGUAUCAGAAGAGGAAGAGACGGCUAACUCUGUGCCAGCAGCCGCGGUAAUACAGAGGUCUCAAGCGUUGUUCGGAUUCAUUGGGCGUAAAGGGUGCGUAGGUGGCGGGGUAAGUCAGGUGUGAAAUUUCGGAGCUCAACUCCGAAACUGCAUUUGAUACUGCCUUGCUUGAGGACUGGAGAGGAGACUGGAAUUCACGGUGUAGCAGUGAAAUGCGUAGAUAUCGUGAGGAAGACCAGUGGCGAAGGCGGGUCUCUGGACAGAUCCUGACAUUGAGGCACGAAGGCCAGGGGAGCAAACGGGAUUAGAUACCCCGGUAGUCCUGGCAGUAAACGGUGCACGUUUGGUGUGGGGGGAUUCGACCCCUUCCGCGCCGGAUCUAACGCGUUAAACGUGCCGCCUGGGGAGUACGGUCGCAAGAUUAAAACUCAAAGAAAUUGACGGGGGCCCGCACAAGCGGUGGAGUAUGUGGCUUAAUUCGAUGCAACGCGAAGAACCUUACCUGGCCUUGACAUGCAUCUCUAAGUUGGUGAAAGCCAGCGAGUCCCGAAAGGGACAAUUUGCACAGGUGCUGCAUGGCUGUCGUCAGCUGGUGUGGUGAGAUAAAGGGUUAAGUCCCGCAACGAGCGCAACCC
RNAcentral lists this ribosomal RNA (875 nucleotides) under uncultured bacterium. RNAcentral describes it as "bacterial SSU rRNA". It matches the Rfam family "Bacterial small subunit ribosomal RNA", at positions 240 to 1104 of the family's 1533-position model. The record is from RNAcentral.